AAACAUGAUGGGGGCACUACUUUUGUAAAUCCUUAAACCUCUCCCAAGCUUCAUAGAUAAAUUCAUCAUCCCUUUGGUAAAAAGUGGUGAUCUCAUUUCUCAAUUU
Mangifera indica (mango) is the source of this 106-nucleotide small nucleolar RNA. NCBI's taxonomy places the organism in Eukaryota, Viridiplantae, Streptophyta, Magnoliopsida, Sapindales, Anacardiaceae. The record is from RefSeq and is a predicted model, not a curated record.